Molecule: long non-coding RNA, 782 nt
Organism: Diorhabda carinulata
Lineage: Eukaryota; Metazoa; Arthropoda; Insecta; Coleoptera; Chrysomelidae
Exons: 2
Source: RefSeq, a predicted model, not a curated record
AGACAGCAAACGACGGCUAUUACCGCGAAACCUUCUAUAACAAUUGUUAUAUUUCUCUCUACUGUAAACAAAUCAGUAAGCCGGAAAAAUGUCACUUGUAGCAGUAGAGCAACGAAAUUUCUUAUGAAACUAGAAUAUCUGGCGUUCACCUUUCGAAGAAGAGUGACGGGUACGUCAAUAUUCGAUAGGUGGCGCCACUGUCAAUAGCCGGUUCAAAUUGAUUGCAUACAUUGUGAAAUUAAGAUUGUUGAUUGACAUUUGAUAAAUAAAACGUCAUUCCCGUACAACGAUACAUGGGCCAGUAUACUCAGGUCUUCGCUUAGAGCGAUAUCGAUGUCAUUGAAUGCGAGGGGAUCGAAAUUCAUUGUUGUCUAAGUUCUCAUGCCUUUUCGUCGCAAUAGGAACACUCCCGCCAAAGAGGAGUUUAUUUCACUCGCAUUCGCAUGUAAAUAUAUAAUUCUAACCUAUAAUUUUUAUCGAAACAGUGUUUUAAAAGUGAUAGAUGAUCUUCCGUAUGUUGGAGUGCUGGAAGAAUUAAAAGAAGCUAAGGAAAUUGUUGAAGAGCCCCAUUGAUUUGUUUUAAGACACCCUCUAAUACAACUUAGUGAUGACCAAUUUUAAAAAAUAUUUCGGCUAACCAAAGAAACUUUUAGAUAUGUUUUGACCUUUUGACACAAUAAGAAUAUAUCUGGACGAACCGAUAAAAUCGACAGUAGUAAGAACUGUUUUACUUUUAACUUAGCUUUGAUUUAUAUAGACUUAUUAAAAGUAUGUAGAUGCUA